RNAcentral lists this ribosomal RNA (446 nucleotides) under uncultured bacterium. RNAcentral's name for it is "partial 16S ribosomal RNA". It matches the Rfam family "Bacterial small subunit ribosomal RNA", at positions 338 to 795 of the family's 1533-position model. The record is from RNAcentral.
CCUACGGGAGGCAGCAGUAGGGAAUUUUCGGCAAUGGGGGGAACUCUGACCGAGCAACGCCGCGUGAACGAAGAAGUUAUUCGUAAUGUAAAGUUCUUUUCACAGGGAAGAAAGAGAAAUUUGACGGUACCUGAAGAAUAAGCUCCGGCUAACUACGUGCCAGCAGCCGCGGUAAUACGUAGGGAGCGAGCGUUAUCCGGAAUUAUUGGGCGUAAAGGGUGCGUAGGCGGAAUAUCAAGUCAGCGGUAAAAAUUCGGGGCGCAACCCCGUCGUGCCGUUGAAACUGAUGUUCUUGAGUGGGCGAGAAGUAUGCGGAAUGCGUGGUGUAGCGGUGAAAUGCAUAGAUAUCACGAAGAACUCCGAUUGCGAAGGCAGCAUACCGGCGCCCAACUGACGCUGAAGCACGAAAGCGUGGGUAUCGAACAGGAUUAGAUACCCCUGUAGUC